AGAGUUUGAUCCUGGCUCAGAUUGAACGCUGGCGGCAGGCCUAACACAUGCAAGUCGAACGGUAACAGGAAGCAGCUUGCUGCUUCGCUGACGAGUGGCGGACGGGUGAGUAAUGUCUGGGAAACUGCCCGAUGGAGGGGGAUAACUACUGGAAACGGUAGCUAAUACCGCAUGACGUCGCAAGACCAAAGAGGGGGACCUUCGGGCCUCUUGCCAUCGGAUGUGCCCAGAUGGGAUUAGCUAGUUGGUGAGGUAACGGCUCACCAAGGCGACGAUCCCUAGCUGGUCUGAGAGGAUGACCAGCCACACUGGAACUGAGACACGGUCCAGACUCCUACGGGAGGCAGCAGUGGGGAAUAUUGCACAAUGGGCGCAAGCCUGAUGCAGCCAUGCCGCGUGUAUGAAGAAGGCCUUCGGGUUGUAAAGUACUUUCAGCGGG
This 439-nucleotide ribosomal RNA is filed under the name uncultured bacterium. RNAcentral describes it as "bacterial SSU rRNA". It matches the Rfam family "Bacterial small subunit ribosomal RNA", at positions 8 to 443 of the family's 1533-position model. The record is from RNAcentral.